CCUACGGGAGGCAGCAGUAGGGAAUUUUCGGCAAUGGAGGAAACUCUGACCGAGCAACGCCGCGUGAAUGAAGAAGUACUUCGGUAUGUAAAAUUCUUUUAUUAGGGAAGAACGAUCUGUGGAAAAACAGAAUUGACGGUACCUAAUGAAUAAGCCCCGGCUAACUAUGUGCCAGCAGCCGCGGUAAUACAUAGGGGGCAAGCGUUAUCCGGAAUUAUUGGGCGUAAAGGGUGCGUAGGCGGCCAUUUAAGUCCUUGGUGUAAGUGCAGCGCUCAACGCUGUGAUGCUAAGGAAACUGAAUGGCUUGAGUGAGAUAGAGGCAAGUGGAAUUCCAUGUGUAGCGGUAAAAUGCGUAAAUAUAUGGAGGAACACCAGUGGCGAAGGCGGCUUGCUGGGUCUUCACUGACGCUGAGGCACGAAAGCGUGGGGAGCGAACAGGAUUAGAUACCCUGGUAGUCCACGCCGUAAACGAUGAGUACUAAGUGUUGGAGAAAUUCAGCGCUGUAGUUAACGCAAUAAGUACUCCGCCUGAGUAGUACGUACGCAAGUAUGAAACUCAAAGGAAUUGACGG
Molecule: ribosomal RNA, 572 nt
Filed under: uncultured bacterium
Lineage: Bacteria
Description: bacterial SSU rRNA
Rfam family: Bacterial small subunit ribosomal RNA
Source: RNAcentral